AUGUAAAAAGAGCUUUAUAAAUAAAUUGUACUGAUUGAUUGAUGAUUGAUUGUAUGAAAUGGAGUAGCAUAUAUCCAUCAUGUAAAAUGAACAUUGAGCACUGUCUCCAUGGAGUAUAGCACUGCAGCCUUAGGCAAUGUAUAUUUACGUGGUGCAUAACAUUAUCUCAUAUCACAUGUAUGGCAAGACAUGAUUGAUGUAAUUAGAUGCUCUGGAGAGAUCCCACCCUCCUUCCCCAACACAUGUAGAAUGCUUAGAAACCACCAGAAACCUGUGAAAUAGAUCAACAGAUGAUGUUUUAUCUCCUCUCAAGGUCUGUUGAUUUACAGUAUCUCAGAAUCAGGAACUGUCAUAUCCCAUGUGAUAUGUCAAAACAAGUUGAUACAUGGUGCAUUGGGUUUGUAUUUAUUGUGGAUCCCCUUUAGCUGCAGCAGUUACUCUUCAUGGGGUCCAGUAAAAUGAAGGCAGUUAUAUAAUUGUAAAAACAUUCCCGAUACAUUCACAACAGAUUUCACAAAAUCCAUGUUCCUUUUUGAUUUCGGGGCAGGCUGUCAACAGCACGUACUGUGACACUAUGAUAAGUCAACAAUACCUCUAGGCAUAUCUGACGUCAUGUAUUUGAUAUCUUUAUGUGAAGGUUCAUGUCCAUAUUGACAUCAGUUCAUUGUGUUUGAGGACGGUUCACUGACCAGUUUCCAACGGAUACGAUUAGACUAGUUUAACAGUUACAGAACAGCUACAGUAGCCUAUCAGAACAGCUACAGUAGCCUAUCAGAACAGCUGCAUUAUCAGAGGCGCAGAGCCUUAAUUAACGGGCUACACAUAAUGGCUGACGACAGCCAGAGCGUGAAAUGGGAGGAUCCCCCGGAUGACCAAAAUAAAGUCGUGGAGAACAUGAAGGAAACAGAGACACAUGAGACCAACAAGAACAGGACAGGAGGCAAGGUAAGAAAUAUGCUGUCCUUUACACAUGCUCUGCCUACUUAGGCACAGAUCUAGGAUUAGUUUACUAUCACUAAAUCCUAGCCUUAAAGCAUUAGGAGGAGACGCUACACUGACCUUAGAUCUGCUAUUAGACCUAUAAUCUGUUGUCAUGUAGGCUAAACGUAAGUCCAGUGGCGGUGCCAAGAAGACUUCCGUGGAGGAGGACAGCAGCAUUGGUGCAGGUCCGAGAUUACUUCAUGUUGGGUGCAGGUUGUGUUCAAAUUCAUCAGCACCGAUCUGAGUAGAUAGUAUCUAUAUAGGUGAAAGCAAUAUAGUGGAGGCCCGCAGAGAGAUGUGCUUUUACCUGUCCAGUGCAAUCAAAUCCCUAAAGGUGAAGGAAAUUAGGGAUCAAGUUCAGAUUCAACUUUAGAUUUCUCUUUGCGGUUUCCCAGAGUCUUCUCAGACACCCGGGUGUGGUUUCCGGGAAAGGGGAUCUAUCAUUGAGCAGCUGGAGAAGGAGGCUCAGAGGACUCUAAUGCCUUCUCUCAAGAUUGGGACAUGCUGUGCCCCAAUCCUCCUCUCCUUCCUGAGGAGU
RNAcentral lists this long non-coding RNA (1519 nucleotides) under Oncorhynchus mykiss (rainbow trout). RNAcentral's name for it is "lncRNA (ENSOMYG00000070859.1)". Lineage: Eukaryota; Metazoa; Chordata; Actinopteri; Salmoniformes; Salmonidae. The record is from RNAcentral.